Molecule: ribosomal RNA, 401 nt
Filed under: uncultured bacterium
Lineage: Bacteria
Description: bacterial SSU rRNA
Rfam family: Bacterial small subunit ribosomal RNA
Source: RNAcentral
GACGAACGCUGGCGGCGUGCUUAACACAUGCAAGUCGAACGGAAAGGCCCAGCUUGCUGGGUGCUCGAGUGGCGAACGGGUGAGUAACACGUGGGUGAUCUGCCUCUAACUUCGGGAUAAGCUUGGGAAACUGGGUCUAAUACCGGAUAGGACAAUCGUUUAGUGUCGGUUGUGGAAAGUUUUUUCGGUUAGGGAUGAGCCCGCGGCCUAUCAGCUUGUUGGUGGGGUAAUGGCCUACCAAGGCGUCGACGGGUAGCCGGCCUGAGAGGGUGGACGGCCACAUUGGGACUGAGAUACGGCCCAGACUCCUACGGGAGGCAGCAGUGGGGGAAUAUUGCACAAUGGCGCAAGCCUGAUGCAGCGACGCCGCGUGGGGGAUGACGGCCUUCGGGUUGUAAACC